Molecule: ribosomal RNA, 300 nt
Filed under: uncultured bacterium
Lineage: Bacteria
Description: partial 16S ribosomal RNA
Rfam family: Bacterial small subunit ribosomal RNA
Source: RNAcentral
UUACCUACGGGGGGCAGCAGUGAGGAAUAUUGGUCAAUGGCCGAGAGGCUGAACCAGCCAAGUCGCGUGAGGGAAGACGGCCCUACGGGUUGUAAACCUCUUUUGUCGGGGAGCAAAGCGAACCACGUGUGGUUCAUUGAGAGUACCCGAAGAAAAAGCAUCGGCUAACUACGUGCCAGCAGCCGCGGUAAUACGUAGGGAGCAAGCGUUAUCCGGAUUUACUGGGUGUAAAGGGCGUGUAGGCGGGCUUGUAAGUCAGAAGUGAAAUCUGGGGGCUUAACCCCCCAACUGCUUUUUAAA